This 428-nucleotide ribosomal RNA is filed under the name uncultured bacterium. Its description in RNAcentral is "bacterial SSU rRNA". It matches the Rfam family "Bacterial small subunit ribosomal RNA", at positions 355 to 775 of the family's 1533-position model. The record is from RNAcentral.
UAGGGAAUUUUUCACAAUGGGCGAAAGCCUUAUGAAGCAAUGCCGCGUGAACGACGAGGGUCUUAUAGAUUGUAAAGUUCUUUUAUUUGGGAAGAACCACUAAAAUAGGAAAUGAUUUUAGUCUGACUGUACCAUUUGAAUAAGUAUCGGCUAACUAUGUGCCAGCAGCCGCGGUAAUACAUAGGAUGCAAGCGUUAUCCGGAUUUACUGGGCGUAAAACGAGCGCAGGCGGGUCUGCAAGUUUGGUAUGAAAUCUAGAUGCUUAACGUCUAGCUGUAUCAAAAACUGCAAACCUAGAGUGUAGUAGGGAGUUGGGGAACUCCAUGUGGAGCGGUAAAAUGCGUAGAUAUAUGGAAGAACACCGGUGGCGAAGGCGCCAACUUAGACUAUCACUGACGCUUAGGCUCGAAAGUGUGGGGAGCAAAUAG